AUUGAACGCUGGCGGCAGGCCUAACACAUGCAAGUCGAGCGAGCGGCGGACGGGUGAGUAAUGUCUGGGAAACUGCCUGAUGGAGGGGGAUAACUACUGGAAACGGUAGCUAAUACCGCAUACCAUCAGAUGUGCCCAGAUGGGAUUAGCUAGUAGGUGGGGUAACGGCUCACCUAGGCGACGAUCCCUAGCUGGUCUGAGAGGAUGACCAGCCAAACUUGAAAUGAGACACGGUCCAGGAUCCCACGGGAGGGAAGAGGGGGGGAUUUUGCAAAAUGGGCGCAAGCCUGAUGCAGCCAUGCCGCGUGUGUGAAGAAGGCCUUCGGGUUGUAAAGCACUUUCAGCGGGGAGGCGUUACCCGCAGAAGAAGCACCGGCUAACUCCGUGCCAGCCGCCGGGUAAUUC
Molecule: ribosomal RNA, 405 nt
Filed under: uncultured bacterium
Lineage: Bacteria
Description: partial 16S ribosomal RNA
Rfam family: Bacterial small subunit ribosomal RNA
Source: RNAcentral